AUCCCAUGAUGAAGACACUUACGAAGCAAUUCAUUGAAUCUUUCCCACGCCUUAGAUAAGAUUCGUCAUCCAAUUGUUGAAAACUAGUUAUCUCAUUUAGAAACUU
Non-coding RNA from Gossypium raimondii (Peruvian cotton), 106 nucleotides. Lineage: Eukaryota; Viridiplantae; Streptophyta; Magnoliopsida; Malvales; Malvaceae. The record is from Rfam.